UAAUACCGGGGUGCUUGUUGAAAGAGCAGUCGGCACUGUAAUAGGAAACCACCGCAUGUUUCUACGUCACCGUGAAAAGGUUCCGGCUGCGACCGGAUGUUUUCCUCCGGGGAGACGGAAGUGACGGUGGUGAUGUCAUCCGAAGCGGGAGGUGUAGCAGCGGCGAUGGGGCUAGAAGCUUGGGCCGAAAAUCCGGCUAGGGUGUGCGUGAUGCUGUCCAGGCGGCGGAAUAACUCCUGUUGAGCAGCGGACAUUUGUGAGAGGGCAUCAGACUGACGACUGAGCAACAUACCUUGUUGAGCGAUGGCAAGGCGGAGUCCCUCCGGGUCAGCUGAGUCGGAGGAAAGGCUAGUUCGUUCUGUCAUGAUUAGCAAGCGUGGUCGACUCAGGUGCUGGAACCCGGAAGGAGGCUCGGCAGGCAGUGAGAUUGUCCAAGGAGUGGUUGGAGGGUAUUGUUGGCAGCAACCGCGUGAUCCGAGACUGGGGUUGGAGAACGUCCGAGCGAGACGGCGAGAGGUGACCCGUGAUCAGGUAUG
This is a long non-coding RNA of Oryzias latipes (Japanese medaka), 536 nucleotides long. RefSeq lists it as uncharacterized. The record is from RefSeq and is a predicted model, not a curated record. Lineage: Eukaryota; Metazoa; Chordata; Actinopteri; Beloniformes; Adrianichthyidae.